RNAcentral lists this transfer RNA (71 nucleotides) under Dallia pectoralis (Alaska blackfish). Its description in RNAcentral is "tRNA-Pro". It matches the Rfam family "tRNA". From Rfam's summary of the family: Transfer RNA (tRNA) molecules are approximately 80 nucleotides in length. Their secondary structure includes four short double-helical elements and three loops (D, anti-codon, and T loops). Further hydrogen bonds mediate the characteristic L-shaped molecular structure. tRNAs have two regions of fundamental functional importance: the anti-codon, which is responsible for specific mRNA codon recognition, and the 3' end, to which the tRNAs corresponding amino acid is attached (by aminoacyl-tRNA synthetases). tRNAs cope with the degeneracy of the genetic code in two manners: having more than one tRNA (with a specific anti-codon) for a particular amino acid; and 'wobble' base-pairing, i.e. permitting non-standard base-pairing at the 3rd anti-codon position. Lineage: Eukaryota; Metazoa; Chordata; Actinopteri; Esociformes; Umbridae. The record is from RNAcentral.
GGCUUGUUGGUUUAGGGGUAUGAUUCUCGCUUUGGGUGCGAGAGGUCCCGGAUUCAUUCCCGGACGAGCCC